Neotoma lepida (desert woodrat) is the source of this 66-nucleotide microRNA precursor. It matches the Rfam family "mir-290 microRNA precursor family". The record is from Rfam. Lineage: Eukaryota; Metazoa; Chordata; Mammalia; Rodentia; Cricetidae.
GUGGUACUCAAACUGUGGGGGCACUUUCUGUUCCUGAAUGAAGUGCCGCCAGGUUUUGAGCGUUAC